AAAGUCGUAACAAGGUCUCCGUUGGUGAACCAGCGGAGGGAUCAUUACAGAUUUUUAAAUCUCCAACCUUUGUGAACAUACCUUUUGUUGCUUCGGCGAGCCAUCUCCCUCUCCGGGAGGUGUCGCCGGAGGACCUUAACCUCUGUAUUUACAUGUGAAUAUCUGAGUGGCUUAAUGCAAAAACGAAUCAAAACUUUCAACAACGGAUCUCUUGGUUCUG
This 220-nucleotide unclassified non-coding RNA is filed under the name Ascomycota sp. Its description in RNAcentral is "partial contains small subunit ribosomal RNA, internal transcribed spacer 1, and 5.8S ribosomal RNA". The stretch from base 1 to 47 matches the Rfam family "Eukaryotic small subunit ribosomal RNA", at positions 1785 to 1831 of the family's 1831-position model. Lineage: Eukaryota; Fungi; Ascomycota. The record is from RNAcentral.